ACACAUGCAAGUCGAGCGGGGGAAGGUAGCUUGCUACCGGACCUAGCGGCGGACGGGUGAGUAAUGCUUAGGAAUCUGCCUAUUAGUGGGGGACAACAUCUCGAAAGGGAUGCUAAUACCGCAUACGUCCUACGGGAGAAAGCAGGGGAUCUUCGGACCUUGCGCUAAUAGAUGAGCCUAAGUCGGAUUAGCUAGUUGGUGGGGUAAAGGCCUACCAAGGCGACGAUCUGUAGCGGGUCUGAGAGGAUGAUCCGCCACACUGGGACUGAGACACGGCCCAGACUCCUACGGGAGGCAGCAGUGGGGAAUAUUGGACAAUGGGGGGAACCCUGAUCCAGCCAUGCCGCGUGUGUGAAGAAGGCCUUAUGGUUGUAAAGCACUUUAAGCGAGGAGG
Molecule: ribosomal RNA, 394 nt
Filed under: Acinetobacter baumannii Naval-18
Lineage: Bacteria; Pseudomonadati; Pseudomonadota; Gammaproteobacteria; Moraxellales; Moraxellaceae
Description: bacterial SSU rRNA
Rfam family: Bacterial small subunit ribosomal RNA
Source: RNAcentral